AGGACGAACGCUGGCGGCGUGCUUAACACAUGCAAGUCGAGCGGAAAGGCCCUUCGGGGUACUCGAGCGGCGAACGGGUGAGUAACACGUGAGCAACCUGCCCUUAGCUUCGGGAUAGCUCCGGGAAACCGGAAUUAAUACCGAAUAUGACUGCGGCUGACAUCAGCCACGGUGGAAAGUUUUUCGGCCAGGGAUGGGCUCGCGGCCUAUCAGCUUGUUGGGGGGUAACGCCCACCAAGGCGACGACGGGUA
Molecule: ribosomal RNA, 252 nt
Filed under: uncultured bacterium
Lineage: Bacteria
Description: partial small subunit ribosomal RNA
Rfam family: Bacterial small subunit ribosomal RNA
Source: RNAcentral